UGGGGGAUAUUGCACAAUGGGCGAAAGCCUGAUGCAGCGACGCCGCGUGGGGGAUGAAGGCUUUCGGGUUGUAAACCUCGUUCGCUAUCGAACAAGGCCCGCUUAGGGUGGGUUGAGGGUAGGUGGAGAAGAAGCGCCGGCUAACUACGUGCCAGCAGCCGCGGUAAUACGUAGGGCGCGAGCGUUGUCCGGAAUUAUUGGGCGUAAAGGGCUUGUAGGCGGCUUGUUGCGCCUGCUGUGAAAACGCGGGGCUUAACUUCGCGCGUGCAGUGGGUACGGGCAGGCUUGAGUGUGGUAGGGGUGACUGGAAUUCCAGGUGUAGCGGUGGAAUGCGCAGAUAUCUGGAGGAACACCGAUGGCGAAGGCAGGUCACUGGGCCAUUACUGACGCUGAGGAGCGAAAGCAUGGGUAGCGAACAGG
Molecule: ribosomal RNA, 420 nt
Filed under: bacterium
Lineage: Bacteria
Description: partial 16S ribosomal RNA
Rfam family: Bacterial small subunit ribosomal RNA
Source: RNAcentral